Oreochromis aureus is the source of this 1883-nucleotide long non-coding RNA. The record is from Ensembl. Lineage: Eukaryota; Metazoa; Chordata; Actinopteri; Cichliformes; Cichlidae.
UUCAGGUUGUUUUGUUGCUUUAAUUAAUUUAUUAUUAACAACAAUAUAAAAUUAUGCACAAAAGGAAUUACUAAUGUAAAAAAAAAGCAACAACGUGGUUUUAUUUAUACAUGUUUAUAUAUAAAUAUAUAUGGUGGCCCCUAGUGAGAAAGCACGUACAAACUCCAAAACACAUUUCUAGCAUUAACUGAACUUCCAAAACAGAGCUACUGUCACGGGUUCAAAAUAUUGGGGAUGGAUACAGGAGGAAAACCAAAAUAACAACACUGGUCCGGCCGGGUCAAGUCAAGCGAUGAUUUUAAUGCACACGUGUGGGAGAUGGGACACUGUACGCAGACAGCACCAGAUCUCUCACCGAAAACCACACAACAAUAGUUUUUAUGAACAUCAGGGUAUUGGAACGCCCCCUCAUGCGUAAAGUAGGUACAAUACAAUCAAUGUUGACAACUUUUAACACAUUAAAAGAACAUCUUCUUCUUCCCGAGGCCAGAUCCUUCCCAGUAAUCUUCUAACUCUGCUUAUCCCCUGGAACAAACAGUCUCUCCUGCAAGCAUAAUCAAACAGCUACAAGGCUUUGCAAACUAUUAUUUAAAUAUUUGAACUCUCCCCUCUACAUGAAUUUAACUGCUGCUUGUGUGUGUGCGUGUGUGCCUCGACCUCAGCAUUCACUCUGUCUAUAAGGACAGAGGCCAACUCUUCAUGUGUGCAAUAACCUAACUGAAACCAUACAUGUAAUAAAUGUUCUAAUCAAAUGCCACUACUCAAAGCUUAAUAAAAAGAGUAUAAAUGAAUAAAGGAUAAUGAUGAAUAACAUGAUAUAUGUGUUUUGUAAGCAUGUGCGGCCUUAAAUUACACAAUUGAAAGCAUAUGUGUAUUGUUUGUGUAUUUAUACACAAACACUCAUAUAUAUUCAAAUAAUUUUAAAAAAAAGUUCAUUUACCUGUUACUACCACACACCAAAUCCAGUCGUUGGUACUUCCUGGCUUGUGUAGCCACUAGGUAACAAAAGCUCAACACUGCGCUUAGCAUCCUGGAGCACUUCUGUUGUGUUUGGUACGUGUUUUGGAGUUUGUAUGUGCUUCAGAGUUUUUACGUGUUUUGGAGUUGUACGUGUUUUGUCUCUAGGGGCCACCGUAAAUAUACUUUUAUUUAUUCACUCCACUUAAAAUGUAAUAAAUAAAUCAUAUAAUACAAAUUAUACAAAAUAUAAUACAAAAACCAACUCUUCACAUUUCAACUUUUUCUAUUUAAAUUUUCAGCUUUUCCCUUUUAAACAAAUUUAAAGUGAAACAACACAAAACACUGCAAACCACAACACAAUUAAAUAUAAAUUAAAAUAUGAAAACAAAAAGAAGAUGCACAUUCUCUGUCAUAUGGGCCUGCAUGAAUAAACUUUCUGAAUCCUUUAUCAUCCGCAACUGAAAAUAGUUGUGGAUGAUUACUAUACCUUUCUAAUGUGACGAUGUUGUCCCUGGCUCUCUUUCUCUCUCUCUCCCUCCCGCUCUGUUCCUGUGCUACUGCGAGUGUAACUACUGCCCCUCCCCCCUCUGCCCAGCGCAAAGCACAAGGCUCGCGUGCGGAGUGAAGCGGAAAAAAAGUGCGAGAGAGAGGGUAAGAUAAAGAAGAAAAACCCCACGGCCCCCAAUAAGGAGCCGGCUCGCGUUGUUCACUUCAAAGAGCCAGCUCUAAGAGCCGUUUCGUUUGCGACCGACACAUCACUAGGGCGCACUGAAGAGGCGAGGCUGCCGGACACUGGAGAUACAGAAGUUCUGGAGGGAGUUAACUUUACCAAUAAAUACAAAUCUUCUUUAAGCCACAAACAGAAUAAGGAGUACCUGAGAGAUGACCUCAUCAGACAGGUGAGUUCUGGAGCAUACUCAGCA